Molecule: ribosomal RNA, 384 nt
Filed under: uncultured Cryptomonas
Lineage: Eukaryota; Cryptophyceae; Cryptomonadales; Cryptomonadaceae
Description: partial small subunit ribosomal RNA
Rfam family: Eukaryotic small subunit ribosomal RNA
Source: RNAcentral
GCUUGUCUCAAAGAUUAAGCCAUGCAUGUCUUAGUGUAAAUAACUCUUAUGAAACUGCGAAUGGCUCAUUAAAUCAGUUAUCAAAUACGUGAUGGUCGCCUACUACAUGGAUAACCGUAGUAAUUCUAGAGCUAAUACAUGCACAAAGGCCCACUCACGUGGGUUGUGAUUAUUAGAUUCAAACCGGCCUCGUUCUGGUGAUUCAUGAUAACUUCUCGAAUCGCAUGGCCUUGCGCCGGCGAUGGUUCAUUCAAAUUUCUUCCCUAUCAACUUUCGAUGUUUGGGUAGUGGCCAAACAUGGUUGCAACGGGUAACGGAGGGUUAGGGCUCGACCCCGGAGAAGGAGCCUGAGAAACGGCUACUACAUCCAAGGAAGGCAGCAGG